Non-coding RNA from Podarcis lilfordi (Lilford's wall lizard), 223 nucleotides. Lineage: Eukaryota; Metazoa; Chordata; Lepidosauria; Squamata; Lacertidae. The record is from the annotation of a GenBank genome assembly.
GGGUGAGCUCCCGUUGCUCGGUCCCUGCUCCUGCCAACCUAGCAGUUCGAAAUCACAGCAAAGUGCAAGUAGAUAAAUAGGUACCGCUCCGGCAGGAAGGUAAACGGCAUUUCCGUGCGCUGCUCUGGUUCGCCAGAAGCGGCUUAGUCAUGCUGGCCACAUGACCCGGAAGCUGUACGCCGGCUCCCUCGGCCAAUAAAGCGAGAUGAGCGCCGCAACCCCA